UACAGAGGUCCCAAGCGUUGUUCGGAUUCACUGGGCGUAAAGGGUGCGUAGGUGGUGAGGUAAGUCGGAUGUGAAAUCUCCGAGCUCAACUCGGAAACUGCAUUGGAAACUACCUUGCUCGAGGGUUGGAGGGGGGACUGGAAUGCUUGGUGUAGCAGUGAAAUGCGUAGAUAUCUGGAGGAACACCGGUGGCGAAGGCGGUUCUCUGGGCAUGUCCUGACGCUGAGGAGCGAAAGUGUGGGGAGCGAACAGG
This 253-nucleotide ribosomal RNA is filed under the name uncultured bacterium. RNAcentral's name for it is "partial 16S ribosomal RNA". It matches the Rfam family "Bacterial small subunit ribosomal RNA", at positions 524 to 776 of the family's 1533-position model. The record is from RNAcentral.